RNAcentral lists this ribosomal RNA (546 nucleotides) under uncultured bacterium. RNAcentral's name for it is "bacterial SSU rRNA". It matches the Rfam family "Bacterial small subunit ribosomal RNA", at positions 44 to 587 of the family's 1533-position model. The record is from RNAcentral.
GUGCCUAACACAUGCAAGUCGAACGGUAACAGGUCUUCGGAUGCUGACGAGUGGCGCACGGGUGAGUAACGCGUGGAUAUCUGCCUAUUAGUGGGGGACAACUUGUGGAAACGCAAGCUAAUACCGCAUAAUCCCUACGGGGGAAAGCAGGGGACCUUCGGGCCUUGUGCUGAUAGAUGAGUCCGCGUCUGAUUAGCUAGUUGGUAGGGUAAAGGCCUACCAAGGCGAUGAUCAGUAUCUGGUUUGAGAGGAUGAUCAGACACACUGGAACUGAGACACGGUCCAGACUUCUACGGAAGGCAGCAGUGGGGAAUAUUGCACAAUGGGCGCAAGCCUGAUGCAGCGACGCCGCGUGUGGGAAGAAGGCUUUAGGGUUGUAAACCACUUUCAAUUGGGAAGAAGAGAUGAGUGUUAAUAACAUUCUGAUUUGACGGUACCUUUAGAAGAAGCACCGGCUAAUUUCGUGCCAGCAGCCGCGGUAAUACGAAAGGUGCAAGCGUUGUUCGGAUUUACUGGGCGUAAAGAGAGUGUAGGUUGUUUAUUAAG